UCCUGAUGCAUAUCCAUAUCUACCAAAUGCCGGUUUCCGCCCAGACGUCUCCUUGCUUGUGCUGGCGAUCACUUUGUUGUCAUCUGUUGCAUUCCACUUCGUACGUAUUUAAGAACUUCUCCAUAUCAAUUUGUGAAGCACAUCAAUUCUAUCUGGAAAAUGGAGCAAGUUGAAGAAUUUACGGACCCAAGCAAUGUCAUUUGUAUAUCCGCGGAUUACAGGCACUAAUUUGUAAGCAAAAAUGUCCCUUUUUACUUUAAUUGUUGGCAAAUUGAUUUCCAUAUUUUCUCGUUCCAUACAAACAUGUUUUUACCUGUGUUUCAAAUCAUGUUGUUUAUAGAGUUUAUUUAUUUAGUCCAUAGUGUUCACUAGAAUUGUAAUAAGAAUAAGAAUAAAUUCAUAAAUUAUAUAGCUGAUUUCAAAUACAUCUUUGAAUUUUGGUUACCCAGCUUCUAAAUUCUAUUUUGUUCUCGAUCAUCUUGUCAUAUUUUAUGUAGGCAUAGCAAAUUGCUCUCCUUUUCUUUCAUGCUGCUGAAUGUUGAGAAAACAUCGCACACACAUUAAAAAUUGCGAUUUGGGGGCAUAUUUGGUCAUCAGACACUUUGAAAAUUGCAAUUUUGGGAACAUGUUUGAUACACAAUAUUAGAUAGGAGCGGGCAGUAUUAAGCCCUGUUUGACAUCCAUUAAAUCAAAGUUCUUUUUUUUUUUUUCCAAAACUCAUUUUCAACCACACAUUCACCCAUUAAAAUAUUUGCACGUAAAUCCAACAUUUUUUUAUUACAACCACACAUUCACACAUUAAAAUAUUUGCACGUAAAUCCAACAUUUUUUUUUAUUACUUUUUAACAACAUUUUUCAAAAAAUCACACCCAGAAAAAGUAACUCUUUUUAAUGGAUGUCAAACAGGGAUGUAAGAAAAAGACUUGUUCAUUGUCUUGGGUAAUUCUGCACACCAGUUUAUUUGUUUUCAUGAAUCAUAAGCUGCAUUGAUAUGGCUAGAAUUAUUGAAAUGUGUACCAGCUUCCGGUUUAUUGGGAGAUUUUUUUGGUUUCAAACUGUGAAUUGGAUUAACAAAUAAUUGCUUGAGCUACUAAAAUCCUGCAUAAUGGAGAUAUCGUUGGAGAGGUGACAAAACCAUAUAUUUCAAUACCAUCAAAAGGAAUUUAGAACACCAGAAAAAGCAACACUGAUAGUUGUUUAGAAAAACCAUAUCUAAGUACUGAGCUCAAAGUUCUACCAUAAUAUAUCUUUCUUUGAUAGAAGUUAUUCAAUAUAUGAAUUACUAUGGAGGAGACCAUUUGGCAUCAGGAUACAUGAAUGGAUUUGAAUAAAAGUAAUGUGUAAAAUCUUGUAUAGAUAUACUGAAUUUAUAUGUAUUUUAGACCCUUUAUACUUGAAUGAAAAAUAAUUCUGCUUUAUCCCAUCAUAUCCACUACCAUCUAUGACAAAGAUAGAUUCACCAGCAUAGCAUUCACAAAUACUUCACAAUAUCUUAUGAUUCAAAUACUAAAAUUUAACAUCCAAGUCAUCAUGCAAAAAUAACUGUCAAAAUCCAAAAAUCUUGAAAUCCAAACAUGGAGAUCAGAGGCUGUCUAUUUGUAAAAGAUGUAGAACUUACACAGGGCUUGAAUCUUGCCGGGAGGAAACUGGAUUUUGCACAUGGACUCGAAUAAUAGUCUUUCAUGAACUCACAGUUUCAUCGCCAAUAUGCACUCAGAAAUGUGGGAUUUUUCCCUUCCAACUUGAGUAGUCUCUCUGUUUAGUGGGUAUAAAGACUUGGUUUGGUGGAUAUAAAGACUUAGGUGUUUGGUGUUGAGGGUAAUUUAAAUAAAUGGAUGCCUAUUUUGUCUUAAUAAUUAAGCUUUUCGGUGAGGCGAGGAAGGCAAAUUUCUAAGUUCAACUCUUGUCAUUAUAGAUGUGUACUGUCGCUGUCAGGUAUUUCAUGAAAAAUGAAUCCAACCUGUAGGUAAGGGAACUAAUUGAAGACAAUUCAAGAAAAGAAAAUUUUCAGUUCUCUGACGGUUUAAAUUUUUAGAUGAGGUGGUUUAACAAUGAUAUGUUUGUAUAAACUUACGAGAGAUUCCCGUUAAUAAAUACUAUCAAUCAAUUUCAUUGGAACGCGUUAGAAGAGGGGGAGAGAGAGGUUAAAACUAACGUGAUCAAUUGUAAUU
This 2171-nucleotide long non-coding RNA is filed under the name Olea europaea (common olive). RNAcentral's name for it is "long non-coding RNA (OEUR_LNC009136)". The record is from RNAcentral. Lineage: Eukaryota; Viridiplantae; Streptophyta; Magnoliopsida; Lamiales; Oleaceae.